GACGAACGCUGGCGGCGUGCUUAACACAUGCAAGUCGAACGGAAAGGCCUUUUCGGAGGUACUCGAGUGGCGAACGGGUGAGUAACACGUGGGUGAUCUGCCCUGCACUCUGGGAUAAGCCUGGGAAACUGGGUCUAAUACCGGAUAGGACCGCACUUUAGUGUGUGUGGUGGAAAGUUUUUUCGGUGUAGGAUGAGCCCGCGGCCUAUCAGCUUGUUGGUGGGGUAAUGGCCUACCAAGGCGGCGACGGGUAGCCGGACUGAGAGGUUGGUCGGCCACAUUGGGACUGAGAUACGGCCCAGACUCCUACGGGAGGCAGCAGUGGGGAAUAUUACACAAUGGGCGCAAGCCUGAUGCAGCGACGCCGCGUGGGGGAUGACGGCCUUCGGGUUGUAAACUCCUUUCGCCAGGGACGAAGCGUUUUGUGACGGUACCUGGAGAAGAAGCACCGGCUAACUACGUG
RNAcentral lists this ribosomal RNA (463 nucleotides) under uncultured bacterium. Its description in RNAcentral is "partial 16S ribosomal RNA". It matches the Rfam family "Bacterial small subunit ribosomal RNA", at positions 28 to 507 of the family's 1533-position model. The record is from RNAcentral.